Molecule: ribosomal RNA, 1169 nt
Filed under: uncultured Bacteroides sp.
Lineage: Bacteria; Pseudomonadati; Bacteroidota; Bacteroidia; Bacteroidales; Bacteroidaceae
Description: bacterial SSU rRNA
Rfam family: Bacterial small subunit ribosomal RNA
Source: RNAcentral
AGUUUGAUCCUGGCUCAGGAUGAACGCUAGCUACAGGCUUAACACAUGCAAGUCGAGGGGCAGCAUUGGAGUAGCAAUACUUCAGAUGGCGACCGGCGCACGGGUGAGUAACACGUAUCCAACCUGCCGCUUACUCGGGGAUAGCCUUUCGAAAGAAAGAUUAAUACCCGAUGGUAUAAAGAGUUCGCAUGUUCUCUUUAUUAAAGAAUUUCGGUAAGCGAUGGGGAUGCGUUCCAUUAGAUAGUUGGCGGGGUAACGGCCCACCAAGUCUACGAUGGAUAGGGGUUCUGAGAGGAAGGUCCCCCACAUUGGAACUGAGACACGGUCCAAACUCCUACGGGAGGCAGCAGUGAGGAAUAUUGGUCAAUGGACGAGAGUCUGAACCAGCCAAGUAGCGUGAAGGAUGACUGCCCUAUGGGUUGUAAACUUCUUUUAUAAGGGAAUAAAGUGAGGGACGUGUCCCUUUUUGUAUGUACCUUAUGAAUAAGGAUCGGCCAACUCCGUGCCAGCAGCCGCGGUAAUACGGAGGAUCCAAGCGUUAUCCGGAUUUAUUGGGUUUAAAGGGAGCGUAGGUUGACAUAUAAGUCAGCUGUGAAAGUUUACGGCUCAACCGUGAAAUUGCAGUUGAUACUGUAUGUCUUGAGUGUACAAGAGGUGGGCGGAAUUCGUGGUGUAGCGGUGAAAUGCUUAGAUAUCACGAAGAACUCCAAUUGCGAAGGCAGCUCACUGGGGUACAACUGACACUGAGGCUCGAAAGUGUGGGUAUCAAACAGGAUUAGAUACCCUGGUAGUCCACACAGUAAACGAUGAAUACUCGCUGUUUGCGAUAUACAGUAAGCGGCCGAGCGAAAGCAUUAAGUAUUCCACCUGGGGAGUACGCCGGCAACGGUGAAACUCAAAGGAAUUGACGGGGGCCCGCACAAGCGGAGGAACAUGUGGUUUAAUUCGAUGAUACGCGAGGAACCUUACCCGGGCUUGAAUUGCAGAGGAAUAUAGUUGAAAGAUUAUAGCCGCAAGGUCUCCGUGAAGGUGCUGCAUGGUUGUCGUCAGCUCGUGCCGUGAGGUGUCGGCUUAAGUGCCAUAACGAGCGCAACCCUUAUCAUUAGUUACUAACAGGUCAUGCUGAGGACUCUAGUGAGACUGCCGUCGUAAGAUGUGAGGAAGGUGGA